CAGCAGCCACGGUAAUACGAAGGGGGCUAGCGUUGCUCGGAAUUACUGGGCGUAAAGGGCGCGUAGGCGGACAGUUCAGUCGGGGGUGAAAGCCCGGGGCUCAACCUCGGAAUUGCCUUCGAUACUGGCUGUCUUGAGUAUGAGAGAGGUGUGUGGAACUCCGAGUGUAGAGGUGAAAUUCGUAGAUAUUCGGAAGAACACCAGUGGCGAAGGCGACACACUGGCUCAUUACUGACGCUGAGGCGCGAAAGCGUGGGGAGCAAACAGGAUUAGAUACCCGAGUAGUCCCUGUCUCUUAUAC
Molecule: ribosomal RNA, 301 nt
Filed under: uncultured bacterium
Lineage: Bacteria
Description: partial 16S ribosomal RNA
Rfam family: Bacterial small subunit ribosomal RNA
Source: RNAcentral